This 497-nucleotide ribosomal RNA is filed under the name uncultured bacterium. RNAcentral describes it as "partial 16S ribosomal RNA". It matches the Rfam family "Bacterial small subunit ribosomal RNA", at positions 28 to 507 of the family's 1533-position model. The record is from RNAcentral.
GAUGAACGCUGGCGGCGUGCCUAAUACAUGCAAGUCGAGCGAACAGACGAUGAGCUUGCUCCUCUGACGUUAGCGGCGGACGGGUGAGUAACACGUGGAUAACCUACCUAUAAGACUGGGAUAACUUCGGGAAACCGGAGCUAAUACCGGAUAAUAUAUUGAACCGCAGGGUUCAAUAGUGAAAGACGGUUUUGCUGUCACUUAUAGAUGGAUCCGUGCCGCAUUGGCUAGUUGGUAAGGUAACGGCCUACCAAGGCAACGAUGCGUAGCCGACCUGAGAGGGUGAUCGGCCACACUGGAACUGAGACACGGUCCAGACUCCUACGGGAGGCAGCAGUAGGGAAUAUUCGACAAUGGGCGAAAGCUUGACGCAGCAACGCCGCGUGAGUGAUGAAGGUCUUCGGAUCGUAAAACUCUGUUAUUAGGGAAGAACAAAUGUGUAAGUAACUAUGCACGUCUUGACGGUACCUAAUCAGAAAGCCACGGCUAACUACGUG